This is a long non-coding RNA of Erinaceus europaeus (western European hedgehog), 1019 nucleotides long. RefSeq lists it as uncharacterized. The record is from RefSeq and is a predicted model, not a curated record. Lineage: Eukaryota; Metazoa; Chordata; Mammalia; Eulipotyphla; Erinaceidae. The transcript is spliced from 3 exons.
CGGCCGCCGCGGGAGAGGAGGGGCAACGCGGGGAGCGCAAGCUGCUGAGCGCUCGGAGCCUGGCGCCGUUGUGCCACCGCCCGCUCCCGGGGAACCUGAGCGCGGAGCCGAGGCGCGAGGGCGUACAAAGAGAGAUCGUCUGACCCGCACGACCUGGGGCGGUGGGAAGGGUGGUCUUUUUUCACAGACUUGUCGUUAGAGGACAGAAAGUUCCGGCGCGUCCUUCAUUCUGCGGGUCCCUGCUGCUCGGGUUGAACCGCCUCCUAUCCCCAUCGGGGAAUGGGGGAGGGUGGGUUCCCCUUCUUAGUGGGGAGAUACUGAGCUGAUUUGCACCCUUGAAUUCUUACGACCAUCUACCUCACUUCUGGGGAAAGCAACCUGAUGACUUCGUCUCUGCCUUUUUUCUUUCGCGGUGGACCUGGGACUGUAGAGAAUUCUUCUGAUGGCUUUGGGAGCCGAGACCAGUAGGUAGAGAUAGGAUUGGUGCCAUCAAGCAGUGUGUCCUUUGGAAGACUGCACACCCGCCCAGGAUUCUAAUGUAUAAACAAGGGAACACCACAGCUUGCCGCAGCUUCCCCGAGGCAAGCAAUUUCAUGUGGAGUGACAUCACAGCCUUCAUGACAGAAGUAACUACUCUGUGCCACCAAGUUGAAGAUGCUGCCAUGGUGCUAACCUGACUUCUGUGGGCAGAUGACCUCACCAGUGUGUCCUGGAACCCCACCUCCCUAGAGCCUUACCCAACUUAGGAGAAAUGGAAACAGGCUAAGGGAAUGGAUUGACCUGUCAACACCCAUGUCCAGCAGAGAAGCAGUUUUAUAGGAUCACCUUCCACCUUCUGCUCCCCAUGGGAUCUUUAACCUAUACUUCCAGAGGGAUGAUGGGGUGGGGGCUUCCAAUGGAGGGGAGGGGACGUGGAACUCUGGUGGCAGAAAUGGUGUGGAAUUGUUCUCCUCCUGUGCCACAGUCUUGUCAAUCAUUAUUAAAUAAUUAAUUAAAAAAUAAAGAUUUUCAUGCCUGAA